Molecule: ribosomal RNA, 433 nt
Filed under: uncultured bacterium
Lineage: Bacteria
Description: partial 16S ribosomal RNA
Rfam family: Bacterial small subunit ribosomal RNA
Source: RNAcentral
AACGAACGCUGGCGGCAUGCCUAACACAUGCAAGUCGAACGAUGCCUCCGGGCAUAGUGGCGCACGGGUGCGUAACGCGUGGGAAUCUGCCCUUGGGUUCGGAAUAACUCGCCGAAAGGCGAGCUAAUACCGGAUGAUGACGUAAGUCCAAAGAUUUAUCGCCCAAGGAUGAGCCCGCGUAGGAUUAGCUAGUUGGUGGGGUAAAGGCCCACCAAGGCGACGAUCCUUAGCUGGUCUGAGAGGAUGAUCAGCCACACUGGGACUGAGACACGGCCCAGACUCCUACGGGAGGCAGCAGUGGGGAAUAUUGGACAAUGGGCGAAAGCCUGAUCCAGCAAUGCCGCGUGAAUGAUGAAGGCCUUAGGGUUGUAAAGCUCUUUUACCCGGGAUGAUAAUGACAGUACCGGGAGAAUAAGCUCCGGCUAACUCCGUG